CUGUGUCCCUCCCCGGCGGCCCGCCGCGCCCCGCUCCGAGGGGACGCUUCCGAAGAGGCUGUAUCCUCGCAGAGGAGGGGAUGAGGAAACCAAAGGACUGGAAGAUGCGGACUGUGACUAAGUUCCUUAAAGCACAGCCUGGAGGUGGAGCAGGGACUCUCACCAGGAAACCAACAUCUAAAGAAGUUAAGUGACUUCACAGCUUAAGGUGUGCACAGCUUAACUCAACGCAGGAAUGCCAAGGCCCCUCAAGUCAGCGUCCCUCCACAGGAUUGCUUACAUUGAAUUCAGCUAUGAAAAGUCCUUUAUCUGCAAAAUCCUCAAGAGGCCUCAGAAAUGAGAUCAGAGAUAGCCCUAGCUUUGGAAAUCAAGAUGAGAGCCAUACGAAGUGGUUGGGAGAAGCUGUUUGGGGACCUUGAAUUGUUGUUGUGUGUGUCUGGUUUUUAUAGGUUGUUGGACAAGGGAAUCAGGAUCUCUGCCAAGGGAAGGCCACUCUGGGCCUGUUAGAUAAAGAGAUAACAGACUUCUUUAUUUACACUUUAUCACAUACUUGUGUCCUAAGCCUGUGUAGCUAAAUCUCAGGAAGUGACCAGACCAGUGGGCCCCUCUUAUGCUCAGCCGUUUAAUGUGUCGCAAGUGAAAUAGAAUUAUGAGUUUGAAUACAAUGCAUCAGAUACUGGCCAAUAUGCAUGAGGACCCCUAUUGAAGAGGAG
This 713-nucleotide long non-coding RNA is filed under the name Equus caballus (horse). RNAcentral describes it as "lncRNA (ENSECAG00000047283.1)". The record is from RNAcentral. Lineage: Eukaryota; Metazoa; Chordata; Mammalia; Perissodactyla; Equidae.